UUCCCAUAGAGACACAACAUAUAGAUCAAUCUGUUGAUUCAUAUGGCCAUUUUGGUUGGCUUGGUUGAAUUGACAAUCAUCCAUUCAAGAUGCUAAAGAAUCAUAUACUAUGGAAGGUCCUUGAGAGUAAAUGCCAGUGUAUUCUAUGGCUGCCAUGAGUACAUGCCUUUCUGUCUCCUCAGUCUGGAAGGGUGACUCGGCUGAUAGAGAAAAUAUGAUGAGGUGAACUCGUCCUCCUAUUCUGAGGACUUUUCCAUCUACUCCUUCACUGACUGUGAAUCUGAGGUAAAAGAGUUGUACCCUACCGUCCUUGUCUUUGUUGAGUGACAUCACUGUGAGGAGGAUGGUCUCUGACAAGUUGACUGAUACCCAGUGUGAUGAUGAGGAUCAUGUAAGGAGGACACCACCGCUGAAAGUUAAGGAUGAGGAGGAUAUAAAAGGUAACAAAGCUUGAAGUGAGUUAUAUGGUAGAAGACGACGAUCUGUCUCUCCACUCCUACGACGAGUCAGACUUCCUGCUUGAUGAUGGCAAUGACGCCUCUACUGAGGACAGUCCAGAGCCUCCAAAGGAACCACAAGGACCAGUGAAGGACCAUCGACUGAGCCCAGGGAAGGUCUCUGGUCCUGUGUCUGGCAAGACUGGCCUCUCUCCUUGAGACCUCAGCACACCGGACCCUGGCUGAAGCCCUACGGGCCCUGCCCUCUGCUGUGGCCCCUCCCUCCCCAGAUAAUGUCCCAAGGCCUCUGACUCCUCUCAGCCCUGUAGUUAUCACUCCGUCCUCUACAGAGAACUUCCCAUACCGCCGCAGCCCUCGGCUGGCCCCCAUAACCAACCUGAGUGUAGCCGCCCCCACAGGUGAGAGGAAAUACAAGAAGGGUAUAUUUCCCGGAAGUCCUAGGUAUAGUAGCUCAAGAGAAGAGAAAACCCAUAAGCUUACAUUACUUUAUCUCCUUGUCCAAAAUAUUCAGGAAGGGAAGGUCAAUAAGAAAAAGAAGUGCAAGGCCAAAAAAGUAGUUAAGCAAAAGAAGGCCGGUAAGAUGCAACAGAUGGAAAAUGUUGGAGGAAGUAAGGAGGAGGACAAGAGGAGGAAAUAGAGGGAGAAGUGGAACAUAACCAGGGAAUACUAGACUAGAAAAUUCUAGAAAUAGAAUGAGGUAGCAGAGAAAGAGCAGCUAUCUGAGGUGCCUUAAUACUAUUAUUAACUGGUUACCAAUGUAAUUAGAGCAGUAAAAAUAAUGUUUUGUCAUACCCGUAGUAUAUUGUUGUAAACACACACACAGAUUUUGAGUAUUGGUUACUCCUACAACACACACAAAUGUAAUUUCAGAGACAGGAACUAUGAUUAGCAAAUACUUAUAUUGGUCUCGUUCUUAUAUUUUGAGACAUGCAUCAUUCUUAAAAAAAUAUAUAUAUUGGUCCCCAUACUGCCUAGCCAGGUGGCUUGUGAUAAUGAGUUGGAUUUACAUAGUGCUUAGAAGCGCUUUCACAUUCUUAGGCUUGGAAAUAUAGCCAGGAGAAGCAGGGUCAACACCUCUACUCAUGCCAUAAGUGCCAUGACAUAUUUAGUAACCACAGAGAGAUAAGACCUCUGUCUCCACAUUCUCAUCCAAAGGACAGCACCAACCUUAGGGCAGUGUCACUGGUAUUGGGGUCUUAGGUCUCAUUUGGACAAAGGGAAGAGAAGAUGCCCUUUACUGGUCUCCUUGCAAUAUCUGGUCUCCCACACAGAGAUGGAAACCUACACCUGUUUAGACCCUGGAGGAUAUGGCUUCAGAUGAAAGACAGCAGAGAGAUGCAGAACGUAAAAGCUUCAAACACAAUGAUAUGCAAAUUCAGGACCAUUGUACUCUUAAGUGGAGCAUGCAUCUGGUCUGAAGCAUGUCAAAAGAGUAGAAAUGAAUUGGGACUGGAGGAAUACAUCACAUGUAAACUAAAUUAGCAUGUAUCUAAUUUAGAUACACUCAUCUGUACUUUUUUGUUUGAAAUGGGACUUUCCAAUAAAGCUUUUUAAAUUCCAA
This is a long non-coding RNA of Oncorhynchus kisutch (coho salmon), 2019 nucleotides long. RefSeq lists it as uncharacterized. NCBI's taxonomy places the organism in Eukaryota, Metazoa, Chordata, Actinopteri, Salmoniformes, Salmonidae. The record is from RefSeq and is a predicted model, not a curated record. The transcript has 3 exons.